RNAcentral lists this ribosomal RNA (63 nucleotides) under uncultured organism. RNAcentral's name for it is "partial 16S ribosomal RNA". The record is from RNAcentral.
UGGGUUUGACAUGGCGCUGGUAGUGAACCGAAAGGGGAACGACCCCGCAAGGGGAGGCGUCAU